AUUGAACGCUGGCGGCAUGCUUUACACAUGCAAGUCGAACGGCAGCGCGGGGCAACCUGGCGGCGAGUGGCGAACGGGUGAGUAAUAUAUCGGAACGUACCCAAGAGUGGGGGAUAACGUAGCGAAAGUUACGCUAAUACCGCAUACGAUCUAAGGAUGAAAGUGGGGGAUCGCAAGACCUCAUGCUCCUGGAGCGGCCGAUAUCUGAUUAGCUAGUUGGUGAGGUAAAGGCUCACCAAGGCGACGAUCAGUAGCUGGUCUGAGAGGACGACCAGCCACACUGGGACUGAGACACGGCCCAGACUCCUACGGGAGGCAGCAGUGGGGAAUUUUGGACAAUGGGCGCAAGCCUGAUCCAGCAAUGCCGCGUGAGUGAAGAAGGCCUUCGGGUUGUAAAGCUCUUUUGUCAGGGAAGAAGCGGUUGGGGCUAAUAUCCUCGGCUAAUGACGGUACCUGAAGAAUAAGCACCGGCUAACUACGUGCCAGCAGCCGCGGUAAUACGUAGGGUGCAAGCGUUAAUCGGAAUUACUGGGCGUAAAGCGUGCGCAGGCGGUUUUGUAAGUCUGUCGUGAAAGCCCCGGGCUUAACCUGGGAAUUGCGAUGGAGACUGCAAGGCUUGAAUCUGGCAGAGGGGGGUAGAAUUCCACGUGUAGCAGUGAAAUGCGUAGAGAUGUGGAGGAACACCGAUGGCGAAGGCA
Molecule: ribosomal RNA, 698 nt
Filed under: uncultured beta proteobacterium
Lineage: Bacteria; Pseudomonadati; Pseudomonadota; Betaproteobacteria
Description: bacterial SSU rRNA
Rfam family: Bacterial small subunit ribosomal RNA
Source: RNAcentral